CUGAUAAUGUUUGUGCUGCUGUUUUCCCUCACAAUGAUGUCAUUUGCUGCAGGAUGAUGUCAUCCACAGGCUAACGGGAUGACGUGUGUGUGUGUGUGAUCAGGUGUGCUGGUGGGUAAUAAGAGUGACCUGUCGGUCAGGAGAGAGGUGGACGGUGCCGAGGCUCGAGCGUGGGCUCAGACUCACGGGCUGGAGUAUCACGAGACGUGUGCUAGGGAGAUCGGACAGUUUGAAGCCCCGUUCCUAAGUUUGGCUCGAGCGUUUCACUCGCUGUACCAGGAUCAGAUGCAGAUCGUCCAGAGUCUCGUUUGAGCAGCAGCUCGUGUGUGUGUGUGUG
Long non-coding RNA from Rhinichthys klamathensis goyatoka, 337 nucleotides. RefSeq lists it as uncharacterized. NCBI's taxonomy places the organism in Eukaryota, Metazoa, Chordata, Actinopteri, Cypriniformes, Leuciscidae. The transcript is spliced from 2 exons. The record is from RefSeq and is a predicted model, not a curated record.